GACGAACGCUGGCGGCGUGCCUAAUACAUGCAAGUCGAACGAGAGCGACCGGUGCUUGCACUGGUCAAUCUAGUGGCGAACGGGUGAGUAACACGUGGGUAACCUGCCCAUCAGAGGGGGAUAACAUCCGGAAACGGAUGCUAAAACCGCAUAGGUCUUCGAGCCGCAUGGCUUGAAGAGGAAAAGAGGCGCAAGCUUCUGCUGAUGGAUGGACCUGCGGUGCAUUAGCUAGUUGGUGAGGUAACGGCUCACCAAGGCCGUGAUGCAUAGCCGACCUGAGAGGGUGAUCGGCCACAUUGGGACUGAGACACGGCCCAAACUCCUACGGGAGGCAGCAGUAGGGAAUCUUCCGCAAUGGACGCAAGUCUGACGGAGCAACGCCGCGUGAGUGAAGAAGGUUUUCGGAUCGUAAAACUCUGUUGUUAGAGAAGAACAAGUGCUAGAGUAACUGUUAGCGCCUUGACGGUAUCUAACCAGAAAGCCACGGCUAACUACGUG
RNAcentral lists this ribosomal RNA (498 nucleotides) under uncultured bacterium. RNAcentral's name for it is "partial 16S ribosomal RNA". It matches the Rfam family "Bacterial small subunit ribosomal RNA", at positions 28 to 507 of the family's 1533-position model. The record is from RNAcentral.